CUCCUUCCGGAACGAGCUCUGGCCCGGCUACAAGUCGGACGAGGGCGUCCCGCCGGAGCUCCGGGCGCAGUUCGACGCCGCGGAGGAGGCCA
RNAcentral lists this transfer RNA (92 nucleotides) under Anaeromyxobacter diazotrophicus. RNAcentral describes it as "tRNA-Cys". The record is from RNAcentral. Lineage: Bacteria; Pseudomonadati; Myxococcota; Myxococcia; Myxococcales; Anaeromyxobacteraceae.